GACGAACGCUGGCGGCGUGCUUAACACAUGCAAGUCGAACGGAAAGGCCCUGCUUUUGUGGGGUGCUCGAGUGGCGAACGGGUGAGUAACACGUGAGUAACCUGCCCUUGACUUUGGGAUAACUUCAGGAAACUGGGGCUAAUACCGUAUAGGAGCUCCUGCUGCAUGGUGGGGGUUGGAAAGUUUCGGCGGUUGCGGAUGGACUCGCGGCUUAUCAGCUUGUUGGUGGGGUAGUGGCUUACCAAGGCUUUGACGGGUCGCCGGCCUGAGAGGGUGACCGGCCACAUUGGGACUGAGAUACGGACCAGACUCCUACGGGAGGCAGCAGUGGGGAAUAUUGCACAAUGGGCGGAAGCCUGAUGCAGCAACGCCGCGUGCGGGAUGACGGCCUUCGGGUUGUAAACCGCUUUCGCCUGUGACGAAGCGUGAGUGACGGUAAUGGGUAAAGAAGCACCGGCUAACUACGUG
This 468-nucleotide ribosomal RNA is filed under the name uncultured bacterium. RNAcentral's name for it is "partial 16S ribosomal RNA". It matches the Rfam family "Bacterial small subunit ribosomal RNA", at positions 28 to 507 of the family's 1533-position model. The record is from RNAcentral.